This 274-nucleotide ribosomal RNA is filed under the name uncultured bacterium. RNAcentral's name for it is "partial 16S ribosomal RNA". It matches the Rfam family "Bacterial small subunit ribosomal RNA", at positions 523 to 796 of the family's 1533-position model. The record is from RNAcentral.
AUACGGAGGGUGCAAGCGUUGUUCGGAAUCACUGGGCGUAAAGGGCGCGCAGGCGGUUUUACAAGUCAGAUGUGAAAGCCCACGGCUCAACCGUGGAAGUGCAUUUGAAACUGUAAGACUUGAGUAUCAGAGGGGAAGGUGGAAUUCCCGGUGUAGAGGUGAAAUUCGUAGAUAUCGGGAGGAAUACCGGUGGCGAAGGCGACUUUCUGGCUGAAUACUGACGCUGAGGCGCGAAAGCGUGGGGAGCAAACAGGAUUAGAAACCCUGGUAGUCC